GCGGUACCGGUUCACGCUCGCGCCCGCGCCCCCGGGGCGGAAGGCGCUGCGACCCGGCGACC
This 62-nucleotide non-coding RNA is filed under the name unclassified sequences. RNAcentral describes it as "L31-Actinobacteria ribosomal protein leader". It matches the Rfam family "L31-Actinobacteria ribosomal protein leader". The record is from RNAcentral.